This 489-nucleotide ribosomal RNA is filed under the name uncultured bacterium. RNAcentral's name for it is "partial 16S ribosomal RNA". It matches the Rfam family "Bacterial small subunit ribosomal RNA", at positions 28 to 507 of the family's 1533-position model. The record is from RNAcentral.
GACGAACGCUGGCGGCGUGCUUAACACAUGCAAGUCGAACGGAAAGGCCCCCACCUUGGUGGGGGUGCUCGAGUGGCGAACGGGUGAGUAACACGUGGGUGAUCUGCCCUGUACUUCGGGAUAAGCUUGGGAAACUGGGUCUAAUACCGGAUAGGACCAUGGUUUAGUGUCUCAUGGUGGAAAAAUUAUUGUUUUGGUGCAGGAUGAGCUCGCGGCCUAUCAGCUUGUUGGUGGGGUAAUGGCCUACCAAGGCGUCGACGGGUAGCCGGCCUGGGAGGGUGGACGGCCACAUUGGGACUGAGAUACGACCCAGCCUCCUACGGGAGGCAGCAGUGGGGAAUCUUACACAAUGGGCGCAAGCCUGAUGCAGCGACGCCGCGUGGGGGAUGACGGCCUUCGGGUUGUAAACUCCUUUCGUUAGGGACGAAGCCACACCUUUUUUGGGUGUGGUGACGGUACCUUUGUUAAGAAGCACCGGCUAACUACGUG